This 253-nucleotide ribosomal RNA is filed under the name uncultured bacterium. RNAcentral describes it as "partial 16S ribosomal RNA". It matches the Rfam family "Bacterial small subunit ribosomal RNA", at positions 524 to 776 of the family's 1533-position model. The record is from RNAcentral.
UACAGAGGGUGCGAGCGUUAAUCGGAGUUACUGGGCGUAAAGGGCGUGUAGGCGGACAUAUAAGUCAGAUGUGAAAUCCCGGGGCUCAACUCCGGAACAGCAUUUGAAACUGUAUAUCUAGAGGGUAGACGGAGAGAACGGAAUUCCACAAGUAGCGGUGAAAUGCGUAGAUAUGUGGAAGAACACCAGUGGCGAAGGCGGUUUUCUAUUUUAUUCCUGACGCUGAGGCGCGAAAGCAAGGGGAUCAAACAGG